This is a long non-coding RNA of Lycium barbarum (goji berry), 3250 nucleotides long. RefSeq lists it as uncharacterized. The record is from RefSeq and is a predicted model, not a curated record. NCBI's taxonomy places the organism in Eukaryota, Viridiplantae, Streptophyta, Magnoliopsida, Solanales, Solanaceae. The transcript has 6 exons.
GGUAACUUGAAUACUAGAUAUUUGUUUCCAAACACACUCCAAGAUUCUAGAACGAUCUGCCAUGUGAAACCACCACCAAAACUUCAGCAAUAGCUAUCUGAAAUCAAAUCAUCGCCUCCUCUGUUUCCCACCGAAGCUCUAUCAGAAAAACCCAGCAACUAAUUCAUCGUUGAUUCCGCCGUGAAUCACCACUGACCACCACCAAAAUUCAUCGUUGAAGGCUAAUGAGCCCAAGGUGUUCGGUGAUAUGCCUGAGACAACUAAAUUAUUUGGGUGAAUUUGGUACAGUAUAAGCAAAAUUCAAAAGUUAAUUAAGAAGACGAGGAACCAAAAUACCUACGUUGGCUACCCUUUGUUUUCCUCGCAUUACUGAGGUAACAACAUGUUGGUUUCAAGGGUGCUGGCAAGAGUGUUGUUUGUUCUCCGUCUGCCGAAGUUGAAUGGAAGAAAUUGUAUGGAAUCAGAGGAGAAUUUAGAGCACCAGUGGAAAUACUGGCCCUAAUCGAGAAAGAAUAACUAAGAAAAGCGGGGAACCAAAAAACAUGAAGGGUGGCCUUCUUUCCUUGCUAUCCAUAGGGGAAUCAAGACAAAUGCUAUGACAUCAGAUUACCACCAUUUUGCCCCUUAGGUACCAUGAAAAUAAGGUGAUAAAAUUUAUUUUUUGAGCUUACUUUUAUAUCCCUUGUUUAUAUUAAACAAUUGGAUAAAUUUGAAGAAUCGUGGAAAGAAUAUUAUUGAGCAUUCAAAUUGCUCUUGAUUCACUGGUGCCUCAUCUUCUUGGAUGAUUAAAAGAUGUUCUACUAUAUGCAUUUAAGUUUAAACCUUAGUAUCUUUAUGCAUUUAUCAUUCUUUUAUGAAGUUUGUGUUUAUUAAUCUUUUUUAAGAGAGUUAAAGGUGGACUUCUUUUCCUUAUUGAGAUGUUUCUAUAAAAGACCAUGAAGGAGGAAGGUGCUUAUGGCUAAAAUUUUUGUAAGAAGACUUGAAAAGUCGACAUUCCCUAUACAUAGAGUAAUCUAUUCUCUUUUUAAUUAAGGUGGUAGUUAUACACAAACACUAAUGUCAUCACUUUAAUUUAUAUGGUUCGUGUAUCUUUUUCGAGGAGCUAAAUUUUUUGAAAGCCUUUAAUAUUCGAUAACUGUUGUAACUUCUACGGCUCUACUUUUGAGACUUCAAGUUCGAUGAAAGUGUACAGGAACUACAUUGUCUUUUAAUUUGUAGCACCAAAAUGAUAGAUUUUAUAAGUGAUUCGAUAAUGGUCGAGGUUGUUAAAGGUAAUAUAGUUUUCAUAACUGUUUGGUUGAGUUAUCAUGCUAUAACAGAGAUAUUGCCAAUAAAAUAAAAUAAAAAAACAUUACCAAUAUGUUAAUGAAUAGAGAUUAAGAUGAUUCUUAUUGGAUAGGUUAGAGAUUAAAAGAAUUAAGUAAACAAAAAGAAGAAGAAAGGGAUAACCGGUUGAUACAAAAUUUGUUUCAUCAACCAAAUCCUGCUGAAGAAACUUGAGGAUUAAGAGCCCGUUUGGAUUGGCUUAAGUUGUUUUCAGCUUUUUUGAGUGUUUGGCUGGUCAGCUUAUAAGCCAUUUUGUGCUUAAAAUAAGCCCAAAAAAAUAAUUGGGCCCAUUUGGCUUAGCUUAUCUAAAGCAGCUUAUAAGCUGUUUUCAGCUUAUCAUCCAAACAGGCUCUAAUAUUCCUUUGUGGUAAUAUUUGUAGCUUGAUGACAAUUCUGAAACUCUGGUAAUGCACAAACAACAAUGAGCUGCCUCUUAAUGAAUAAGUACUCCAACUCAAAGCUAUUUUCAUAUGAGAAUUCCAAUUUUUAAAGAUAUUGCAUCUUCUGUGAACAGAAGAAAUUACUACAUCGUACAAAUUCUUCUAUCACCUUGACCAUGAGGGAACUGUGGAACUACUAAACAUUUUGUAGGGUCUCUGCCAAUAGUUGUUCACUGUCUAGCAAUACUGGAAAUGGUUUCAGUUAAUUACUUUUUGAGCUUCUGAAGUUAUGAAUGGUAUAUGUUACUUACGAGAUCGUUUCUUUCAAGGGAAAUGUGAUAUAGAUGCAGCUUUUCAAGAGUAAUAUGCCUUAUUGUGUCGAGGUAAUUUGGUUGGCAAAACCUUUCUAUUUUAUGCCUUUUAGGGUUAAUGGAGUCCAAAUGGAAUAACAAGAACUAUUGACGACAAAAGAGAAUACUUUAGUUGUCCCAAAGGGAGUAUAUUGCUAUAAAAAGCAUUGGAGGCAUAUACGUCAGAUACUUUCUUGCUACAUCAGUUAAUUCUCUCUAUGAGAUCUUAUUAAAUGUAUUGUGAAGGGUUCUUAGAGGCCAAAAUAGUUGUCAAAUCAGGAAAAACCAUGCAUAUGUCCUCUGAGAAAUUCUUUAUAGUUGGGAAAAUGUUAAUUUUUUUUUCUUGGACCUUCACCUAUUCAAGAAGUUUCUGAUUUUCUUACAAGGGAAAUAUACAGGAAGUCUGAUUCUCCUAGCCUAAUAGAUUAAUAUAAUUUGGUGAAAUCUUCUUCUCCUCAACUUGUGCAACAGCCCCUGUCUCAACUAGAAUAUAUUGAUGUAGGCAAAGAAUUGGAAGGUGGAAAAAGUAAGAAGGUUUGUUAUUCAGUGUUGAUGAAAGCAGUAGCUAAUUUUCAUCAGUUUACUUGUUUGUCUUAAAUAUUUACUCUAUUUGUUUUUUAGCAGAACGGUCAAAGAAUGAAUCACAUCAAAUCUUGGUUGUUUACUUCAUGACGGCUAGAUUACAAUAAGCAACAUCAGCUAUAGUGCUCAAGACGUGAAAUUCCUUUCUGGUGAUGUGCUGUUUCAGCCUUUCAGUUGAACAACUCGGGACAAAAUAAUUCCUCAUGUACUGUCAUGGUUUACUGAUGAGGCUGCGGAAGAUGAUGAAUCUGAAGAUAUGGAAGAUGUUAUUAAAAAAGAUGGAGAUGAGGAUGAAGAGAAGUGACAGAAAGGUUGUACUAGCUUGGGGAAAAAAGUGAGGUUGAUUAAAUCUACUGCUAAGUUUUUCUAUAUGAUAAGAUUGUUAUAUUUUUAAGUAGCGUUCUAGCAAAGCAUACUUUUGAACUCAAAGUUUAUUUUAGACAUAGUUGCCGGCACAAUUUAUUCCCUGAAGCCCAUUAUCCAAAUGGAUAGAUCAUAUUGUAAAUUUUAUAACAGAAAAGGAAAAAAAUGUUUCCAUGUAGGGCACAGGCCCGUGCCUUGCACGGGCUUCAACCGUCUAGUAUAUAUAUAUGUUGGGAUAUAUACUAUUAA